GGAAGGGUGGCAGAGCGGUUGAAUGCACCUGACUUGAAAUCAGGCGCACCCGCGAGGGUGCCGUGGGUUCGAAUCCCACCCCUUCCGCCA
Molecule: transfer RNA, 90 nt
Filed under: Burkholderiales bacterium
Lineage: Bacteria; Pseudomonadati; Pseudomonadota; Betaproteobacteria; Burkholderiales
Also listed under: 3 other names
Description: tRNA-Ser
Rfam family: tRNA
About the family: Transfer RNA (tRNA) molecules are approximately 80 nucleotides in length. Their secondary structure includes four short double-helical elements and three loops (D, anti-codon, and T loops).
Source: RNAcentral